Molecule: long non-coding RNA, 924 nt
Organism: Arachis duranensis
Lineage: Eukaryota; Viridiplantae; Streptophyta; Magnoliopsida; Fabales; Fabaceae
Exons: 2
Source: RefSeq, a predicted model, not a curated record
GCGAUAACACAAGCAUAAAAGAAAAUUAAAGAUGGUAUAUGAAGGGGCCAUGUCACUUUAUCAACAAUGACAUGACUAAAGAUCUCAUAAUUUUUGCUGCCUCAGUUUUUUUCUCCCUCUCCACUUCUGUUCUUUUAAACUUUUAUUAUCAUUAUUAUUAGGAGGUUCCAAAAUGGGGGUUGAAUGGACCAAUAAUAAAGUUAUCUGACCCUUGGGUGAAAGGAAUCAUCAUUUAUAUAUUAUGAGCAUCAAAUUCAAAUCUGAUCUGAUGAAAGGAAAUAGCAUUUGUGAGUGGAUAUCCAUAGCAUAAGCCUCAGUCCUAUUCAAGCAUAUGCCAAACCUCUUUUUACUAGUUUGGUUUAUUCCAUCCUUCAGAGUUAUGAGUUCUAAGCAAAGCUUGCAGUAUAAAAAGAUAGAGUGCGCAAAGCUCAAGGAGGCAACUGCUUCACCAUCAGUAAGCAAAUCAGCAAUAGGGCACCUCUUCACUGGCAUGUAUAAGUAUAAUAUACUAAUUCUUCAAGUAUUUCUACGGUCACAUACAUAACAUGCCAAAGGAGAGUUGCCCUGUUGCUGCUUUAGCUUAAAAUAAUCUCAAAAUGCUAAUCUUUACAUUUAUAUAUGUACUUAAGCUAUUAAGACCAAGGCCCCGAUCUGAAAUGCUUCUUGUCUCUUGGAGAUGAAGUCAUGAAGAAACAUUUCUUACGUGCAAUUUUCUUUUUCGUCAAAACGACCAUAUUGCAAGUGUAAUAAACGGCUUUUUUAAAGCCCAUAAUGGACCAAUCCAUGUAUGAAUAACUGUACUCUAUUAGGACCAUUUAGCCCAGAAUUUUUGGGUUUAUGAUUUUGGAAAAGCCCCUGUUCCUUCAUGUAAAUGUUGUUCAGUGGAUUAGGCCCAGGAAUGAAAUAAGGGGUCAAGAUGCAAAA